UUGCGGUUAAAAAGCUCGUAGUUGGAUUUCUGUUGAGGGCGGCCGGUCCGCACUACGUGCGUGUAUCUGGUCUGGCCUCGGCAUCCUCUCGAAACUCGUUGCUGCGCUUGAUUGCGUGGUGCGGUGUUCGGGACUUUUACUUUGAGGAAAUUAGAGUGUUCACGGCAGGCAAUCGCCUUGAAUAUAUUAGCAUGGAAUAAUAAUAUAGGAUCUGAUGCCUAUUUUGUUGGUUUCUAGGUGUUAGAUAAUGAUUAAUAGGGACAAUUGGGGGCAUUCGUAUUACGGCGUCAGAGGUGGAAUUCUUGGAUUGCCGUACGACGAACUACUGCGAAAGCAUUUGCCAGGAU
RNAcentral lists this ribosomal RNA (347 nucleotides) under uncultured marine eukaryote. Its description in RNAcentral is "SSU rRNA". It matches the Rfam family "Eukaryotic small subunit ribosomal RNA", at positions 613 to 964 of the family's 1831-position model. The record is from RNAcentral.